RNAcentral lists this ribosomal RNA (433 nucleotides) under uncultured bacterium. RNAcentral describes it as "partial 16S ribosomal RNA". It matches the Rfam family "Bacterial small subunit ribosomal RNA", at positions 29 to 507 of the family's 1533-position model. The record is from RNAcentral.
AACGAACGCUGGCGGCAUGCCUAACACAUGCCAGUCGUACGAGACCUUCGGGUCUAGUGGCGCACGGGUGCGUAACGCGUGGGAACCUGCCCUUAGGUUCGGAAUAACUCCCCGAAAGGGGUGCUAAUACCGGAUAAUGUCUUCGGACCAAAGAUUUAUCGCCUUUGGAUGGGCCCGCGUUGGAUUAGCUAGUUGGUAGGGUAAAAGCCUACCAAGGCGACGAUCCAUAGCUGGUCUGAGAGGAUGAUCAGCCACACUGGGACUGAGACACGGCCCAGACUCCUACGGGAGGCAGCAGUGGGGAAUAUUGGACAAUGGGCGAAAGCCUGAUCCAGCAAUGCCGCGUGAGUGAUGAAGGCCUUAGGGUUGUAAAGCUCUUUUACCCGGGAUGAUAAUGACAGUACCGGGAGAAUAAGCUCCGGCUAACUCCGUG